This 845-nucleotide ribosomal RNA is filed under the name Escherichia coli. RNAcentral's name for it is "partial 23S ribosomal RNA". It matches the Rfam family "Bacterial large subunit ribosomal RNA", at positions 1 to 888 of the family's 2925-position model. The record is from RNAcentral. Lineage: Bacteria; Pseudomonadati; Pseudomonadota; Gammaproteobacteria; Enterobacterales; Enterobacteriaceae.
GGUUAAGCGACUAAGCGUACACGGUGGAUGCCCUGGCAGUCAGAGGCGAUGAAGGACGUGCUAAUCUGCGAUAAGCGUCGGUAAGGUGAUAUGAACCGUUAUAACCGGCGAUUUCCGAAUGGGGAAACCCAGUGUGAUUCGUCACACUAUCAUUAACUGAAUCCAUAGGUUAAUGAGGCGAACCGGGGGAACUGAAACAUCUAAGUACCCCGAGGAAAAGAAAUCAACCGAGAUUCCCCCAGUAGCGGCGAGCGAACGGGGAGGAGCCCAGAGCCUGAAUCAGUGUGUGUGUUAGUGGAAGCGUCUGGAAAGGCGCGCGAUACAGGGUGACAGCCCCGUACACAAAAAUGCACAUAUUGUGAGCUCGAUGAGUAGGGCGGGACACGUGGUAUCCUGUCUGAAUAUGGGGGGACCAUCCUCCAAGGCUAAAUACUCCUGACUGACCGAUAGUGAACCAGUACCGUGAGGGAAAGGCGAAAAGAACCCCGGCGAGGGGAGUGAAAAAGAACCUGAAACCGUGUACGUACAAGCAGUGGGAGCACGCUUCGGCGUGUGACUGCGUACCUUUUGUAUAAUGGGUCAGCGACUUAUAUUCUGUAGCAAGGUUAACCGAAUAGGGGAGCCGAAGGGAAACCGAGUCUUAACUGGGCGUUAAGUUGCAGGGUAUAGACCCGAAACCCGGUGAUCUAGCCAUGGGCAGGUUGAAGGUUGGGUAACACUAACUGGAGGACCGAACCGACUAAUGUUGAAAAAUUAGCGGAUGACUUGUGGCUGGGGGUGAAAGGCCAAUCAAACCGGGAGAUAGCUGGUUCUCCCCGAAAGCUAUUUAGGUAGCGCCUCGUGAA